RNAcentral lists this ribosomal RNA (582 nucleotides) under uncultured archaeon. RNAcentral describes it as "bacterial SSU rRNA". It matches the Rfam family "Archaeal small subunit ribosomal RNA", at positions 269 to 851 of the family's 1478-position model. The record is from RNAcentral.
ACGGGCCCUGAGAGGGGGAGCCCGGAGAUGGACUCUGAGACAUGAGUCCAGGCCCUACGGGGCGCAGCAGGCGCGAAAACUUCACAAUGCGCGAAAGCGUGAUGAGGGAACCCCAAGUGCUNGCUCGAAAGAGUCAGCUGUUUCCCUGCUUAAAAAGCAGGGAGAGUAAGGGCUGGGUAAGACGGGUGCCAGCCGCCGCGGUAAUACCUGCAGCCCGAGUGGUGGCCGCUAUUAUUGGGCCUAAAACGUCCGUAGCCGGCCUAGUAAAUGCCUGGGUAAAUCGUGAGGCUUAACCUCACGAAUCCUGGGUAGACUGCUAGGUCUUGAGACCGGGCGAGGCUGGAGGUACUCCAGGGGUAGGGGUGAAAUCCUGUAAUCCCUGGAGGACGACCAGUGGCGAAAGCGUCCAGCCAGAACGGGUCUGACGGUGAGGGACGAAGCCCUGGGGCGCAAACGGGAUUAGAUACCCCGGUAGUCCAGGGUGUAAACGCUGCUCGCUUGAUGUUANGUANGNUUCGGGCCUACCUAGUGUCGGAGAGAAGUCGUUAAGCGAGCUGCCUGGGGAGUACGGCCGCAAGGCUG